ACCCGCUGAACUUAAGCAUAUCAAUAAGCGGAGGAAAAGAAACCAACAGGGAUUGCCUCAGUAACGGCGAGUGAAGCGGCAAGAGCUCAAAUUUAAAAGCCGACGUAGCUUUAAGAGACGUCCGCAUUGUAAUUUGAAGAGGCAUUCUCGGGUCGGGGCUCAGGCCUAAGUUCCUUGGAAGAGGGCGUCGUGGAGGGUGAGAACCCCGUUCGCGGCCUGCUGUCGACCUUUCCCCGAUCCACACGAGGUGCCAUCGAAGAGUCGAGUUGUUUGGGAAUGCAGCUCAAAGCGGGUGGUAAAUUCCAUCUAAAGCUAAAUAUUGACGGGAGACCGAUAGCGAACAAGUAGAGUGAUCGAAAGAUGAAAAGCACUUUGGAAAGAGAGUUAAACAGCACGUGAAAUUGUUGAAAGGGAAGCGCUUGAGACCAGUCACGGACCGAGGCGAUCAGUGGGACGUCCCUCUCGGGGGAGGAACCGCGCACUCGCUUUUCGGGUUUUCCGGGUCAACAUCGGUUGGGACGGUGUCAGAAAGGUCGCGGGAACGUGGCUCCCUUCACGGGGAGUGUUAUAGCCCGUGGCGUCAAAGUCGCCAGUUUCGACCGAGGACCGCGCUCGUCUUUUUCGAGCAAGGAUGUUGACGUAAUGGUCC
This 649-nucleotide ribosomal RNA is filed under the name uncultured fungus. Its description in RNAcentral is "eukaryotic LSU rRNA". It matches the Rfam family "Eukaryotic large subunit ribosomal RNA", at positions 23 to 640 of the family's 3401-position model. Lineage: Eukaryota; Fungi. The record is from RNAcentral.